This 497-nucleotide ribosomal RNA is filed under the name uncultured bacterium. Its description in RNAcentral is "partial 16S ribosomal RNA". It matches the Rfam family "Bacterial small subunit ribosomal RNA", at positions 28 to 507 of the family's 1533-position model. The record is from RNAcentral.
GAUGAACGCUGGCGGCGUGCCUAAUACAUGCAAGUCGAGCGAACGGACGAGAAGCUUGCUUCUCUGAUGUUAGCGGCGGACGGGGGAGUAACACGUGGAUAACCUACCUAUAAGACUGGGAUAACUUCGGGAAACCGUAGCUAAUACCGGAUAAUAUUUUGAACCGCAUGGUUCAAAAGUGAAAGACGGUCUUUCUGUCACUUAUAGAUGGAUCCGCGCUGCAUUAGCUAGUUGGUAAGGUAACGGCUUACCAAGGCAACGAUGCAUAGCCGACCUGAGAGGGUGGUCGGCCACACUGGAACUGAGACACGGUCCAGACUCCUACGGGAGGCAGCAGUAGGGAAUCUUCCGCAAUGGGCGAAAGCCUGACGGAGCAACGCCGCGUGAGUGAUGAAGGUCUUCGGAUCGUAAAACUCUGUUAUUAGGGAAGAACAUAUGUGUAAGUAACUGUGCACAUCUUGACGGUACCUAAUCAGAGAGCCACGGCUAACUACGUG